RNAcentral lists this ribosomal RNA (468 nucleotides) under uncultured bacterium. Its description in RNAcentral is "partial 16S ribosomal RNA". It matches the Rfam family "Bacterial small subunit ribosomal RNA", at positions 28 to 507 of the family's 1533-position model. The record is from RNAcentral.
GACGAACGCUGGCGGCGUGCUUAACACAUGCAAGUCGAACGGACAGGCCCUGCUCUUGUGGGGUGCUCGAGUGGCGAACGGGGGAGUAACACGUGAGUAACCUGCCCUUGACUUUGGGAUAAAUUCAGGAAACUGGGGCUAAUACCGGAUAGGAGCUCCUGCUGCAUGGUGGGGGUUGGAAAGUUUCGGCGGUUGGGGAUGGACUCGCGGCUUAUCCGCUUGUUGGUCGGGUAGUGGCUGACCAAGUCUUCGACGGAUAGCCGGCAUGAGAGGGUUACCGGCCACAUGGGGACUGAGGGACGCCCCAGACUCCUACGGGAGGCAGCAGUGGGGAAUAUUGCACAAUGGGCGGACGCCUGAGGCAGCAACGCCGCGUGCGGGAUGACGGCCUUCGGGUUGUAAACAGAUUUCGCCUGUGACGAAGAGUGAGUGACGGUAAUGGGUAAAGAAGCACCGGCUAACUACGUG